RNAcentral lists this non-coding RNA (252 nucleotides) under Pandoraea pnomenusa. Lineage: Bacteria; Pseudomonadati; Pseudomonadota; Betaproteobacteria; Burkholderiales; Burkholderiaceae. The record is from RNAcentral.
CUACACUUGCGGCACUUCGGUGCUCGCGCACGCCCCCCCGGCAUGCGCAGUUAAACGGGAAACAGGGAGCCGCGUCCCCACACGGGCUGGCCAACCUGUGCUGCCCCCGCAACGGUAAGUCAUUCUUUCGGCCCGAAAGGUUUCCGAAAACGCGCCUCGCCUAUAUCGCCACUGUGAGCUACCCGCUCGCGGGAAGGCCGGUCAGGCGCCAUGAUGACCAGCCCGGAUACCGGCCGCAGUGAGUGGGGAAAA